GGGUGUCACUUAUGGGGCAGCGCGGUCACUUAUGGGUCUCUGGGCGUCACUUAUGGGUCUCGGGGCGUCACUUAUGGGGCAGCGCGGUCACUUAUGGGUCUCGGGGUGUCACUUAUGGGUCUUGGGGCGUCACUUAUGGGGCAGCGCGGUCACUUAUGGGUCUCUGGGCGUCACUUAUGGGGCAGUGCUGUCACUUAUGGGUCUCGUGGCGUCACUUGUGGGGCAGGCUUGAAUUACUACGUGCGCAUCCUGAGCANCCAGCCCCACGGCUGACCCCCGUAGCCGCCCCACAGAAGCUGCAGCAGGAGCUGGAGUUCCUGGAGGUGCAGGAGAACUGACCCCCCCCCAUAACCACCCCUAGCCCCAUAGCUGCCCCAUAGCUGCUCCAUAGCCACCCUCAGCCCCAUAGCCGCCCCAUAGCUGCCCCACAUCCACCUCCAGCCCCAUGGCUGACCCCCGUAGCCGCCCCACAGAAGCUGCAGCAGGAGCUGGAGUUCCUGGAGGUGCAGGAGAACUGACCCCCCCCCCAUAUCCACCCCUAGCCCACCCCAUAUCCACUCCCAGCCCCAUAGCUGCCCCGUAGUCGCCCCAUAGCUGACCCAUACCCGCUCCCCAGCCGCAUAGCCGCCCCAUAGCUGCCCCAUAGUCAGCCCCAGCCCCACGGCUGACCCACAGCAGCUGCAGGAGGAGCUGCAGGUGCAGGAGGACUGAUCCCCCCUAUAGCCACCCCCAGCCCCAUAGCCGCCCCAUAGGUGCCCCAUAGCCGCCCCACAACCACCCCCAGCCCCACGGCUGACCCCCACAGCCGCCCCACAGAAGCUGCAGCAGGAGCUGGAGUUCCUGGAGGUGCAGGAGAACUGACCCCCCCCAUAGCCACUUCUAGGCCACCCCAUAUCCACUCCCAGCCCCAUAGCCGCCCCAUAGCCUCCCCAUAGCCACCCCCAGCCCCACGGCUGACCCCCGUAGCCGCCCCACAGAAGCUGCAGCAGGAGCUGGAGUUCCUGGGAGUGCAGGAGGACACACCCCCCCCAUAACUACCCCCAACCUACCCCAUAGCCACCCCCAGCCCCAUGGCUGCCCCGUAGCUGCCUCAUAGCUGCCCCAUACCUGCUCCCCAGCCCCAUAGCUGCCCCAUAGCUGCCCCAUACCUGCUCCCCAGCCCCAUAGCUGCCCCAUAACCACCCCCAGCCCCACUGCUGAUCCACAGAAGCUGCAGCAGGAGCUGGAGUUCCUGGAGGUGCAGGAGGACACAUGCCCCCCUUAACAACCCCCAACCUGCCCCAGAGCCACCCCCAGCCCCAUAGCCGCCCCACAUCCACCCCCAGCCCCACGGCUGAC
Molecule: long non-coding RNA, 1338 nt
Filed under: Numida meleagris (helmeted guineafowl)
Lineage: Eukaryota; Metazoa; Chordata; Aves; Galliformes; Numididae
Description: lncRNA (ENSNMEG00000003867.1)
Source: RNAcentral